RNAcentral lists this transfer RNA (64 nucleotides) under Urechis caupo. RNAcentral describes it as "tRNA-Thr". The record is from RNAcentral. Lineage: Eukaryota; Metazoa; Annelida; Polychaeta; Xenopneusta; Urechidae. RNAcentral also lists the same sequence under 1 other name.
GCCUAUAAAGUCAAAAAGAGACAUUGGUCUUGUAAACCAAAGAUUGAUUUAUUAUCUAUGGGCU